This 206-nucleotide long non-coding RNA is filed under the name Elaeis guineensis (African oil palm). Its description in RNAcentral is "long non-coding RNA (EGUI_LNC043860)". Lineage: Eukaryota; Viridiplantae; Streptophyta; Magnoliopsida; Arecales; Arecaceae. The record is from RNAcentral.
CGGUUUAGAUGUUUUAUUAUUAAUUUUAUAGUUGAAAAGGAUGGAUACUCUCUCUCCUCUCAAGAAGUAUAAGUCCACUAUUAUGCCAUCUUUUAUAUAUAUAUAUAUAUAGAAAGAGAUAUAUAUAUAUAUAGAGAGAGAGAGAGAGCUAUCAGCUUUUCUCCUCUUUUUCUUUUUUCGUUUUUGGUAAUCUGAUUGUCUUUUGU